UGGAUGCAGAGGCUGGGGGCUGGUCAGCGAGGAACAAUGGUCAUUUGUGAAGGAGAGGACACUUGAGAGCUCGGUGUCUCUAUAACAGGAGGCAAAACCAUGUUCACCAAUAAGGUUUCAACCCUUUAUUUAGUGAAAUGAAGUGUUAGGGAACACAGAGGGGGUUUUUAAGAGCUUACACAUCCAUCAGAACCAGAGCCACGGUGUGGGAAGAGAACCGCAAGACAUUUCCUCAAAUACCUGUGGCUUUGUAUGAAGGAAUCAAAGACCAGGAACACAAGUAAUUUGGUUACAAAGAAUUACACAGAAGUGAAAUGAGAACGGAAGCAAUUUCUUCUGAACCCUAGAACCACAGGGCAGCAUUACCAUGAAGUGACCUUAGAAUCAGGUUUUGACACUAAAGUUAAACUUUGUGAAACAAACCGUAGAGGGUGCCGUACCAUACCGCAGCUGGAAUAACUACAACACUGUCAGUGGAGAAUCCUUUUGGAUCUGCUAAUGUGGAAAACAGCAGAGCACCUCACGUGGUGGAUAAGAAACGGGGGCUUCAAGAAUGACCACAGAAAUGAUUCCAAAGAAAAAAGUAAACAGUUUGAUUACCAAUACAAAAAUUAAUAAAUGGAAUAGCAUUAAGCAAUGCCAGAUUUCAGUGGCGAAACAGACUCAGAAUUUAUACCCUGUGUUGUGUUCUGACCACUAAACAACAUACAGCUUCCAGAAACCACAGACUGCAUUAUAGGUGACAUCGGGGCUAUGCUGUUUGAGUUUUCUCAAAUCGUUGCAAAUCUCCAAAAAUUUUUCCAAUAUAAUUUUUU
Leopardus geoffroyi (Geoffroy's cat) is the source of this 815-nucleotide long non-coding RNA. RefSeq lists it as uncharacterized. Lineage: Eukaryota; Metazoa; Chordata; Mammalia; Carnivora; Felidae. The record is from RefSeq and is a predicted model, not a curated record. The transcript has 6 exons.